GACGAACGCUGGCGGCGUGCUUAACACAUGCAAGUCGAACGGAAAGGCCCUGCUUGCAGGGUACUCGAGUGGCGAACGGGUGAGUAACACGUGGGUGAUCUGCCCUGCACUUCGGGAUAAGCCUGGGAAACUGGGUCUAAUACCGGAUAGGAGCCAUUUUUAGUGUGAUGGUUGGAAAGUUUUUUCGGUGUAGGAUGAGCUCGCGGCCUAUCAGCUUGUUGGUGGGGUAAUGGCCUACCAAGGCGGCGACGGGUAGCCGGCCUGAGAGGGUGGACGGCCACAUUGGGACUGAGAUACGGCCCAGACUCCUACGGGAGGCAGCAGUGGGGAAUAUUGCACAAUGGGCGCAAGCCUGAUGCAGCGACGCCGCGUGGGGGAUGACGGCCUUCGGGUUGCAAACUCCUUUCGCUAGGGACGAAGCUUUUUGUGACGGUACCUAGAUAAGAAGCACCGGCUAACUACGUG
RNAcentral lists this ribosomal RNA (465 nucleotides) under uncultured bacterium. Its description in RNAcentral is "partial 16S ribosomal RNA". It matches the Rfam family "Bacterial small subunit ribosomal RNA", at positions 28 to 507 of the family's 1533-position model. The record is from RNAcentral.